UGGAUAGUCCUGGAGACUGGAGUCCUCUGUUUACAGCACUGGUAUAGCAUGUGCAGUACAACAUUAGUGUGUGCUUCCCCAUGCUGUCCUGCCAAUGUGCCUCAAACCUGUUCUGCAGGGACCACCACCGUGCUUUACAUAUCCGUUUUCCUUCCAUUCAACUAACACUGUG
Molecule: unclassified non-coding RNA, 172 nt
Organism: Gopherus agassizii (Agassiz's desert tortoise)
Lineage: Eukaryota; Metazoa; Chordata; Testudines; Testudinidae
Source: Ensembl